Callorhinchus milii (elephant shark) is the source of this 75-nucleotide long non-coding RNA. RefSeq lists it as uncharacterized. NCBI's taxonomy places the organism in Eukaryota, Metazoa, Chordata, Chondrichthyes, Chimaeriformes, Callorhinchidae. The record is from RefSeq and is a predicted model, not a curated record. The transcript has 3 exons.
UGCCAGGCUAGAGUCAAGCUCAACAGGGUCUUCUUUCCCCGCUGAUUCCGCCAAGCCCGCAGAUCGGAAGUGCGU